GCCUCAACACGCACUACUGGUGUGCAGUCUGCCGUAUUGAAAACUCAUGUUGCCACCAGGGUGUGACAGAUGUAGUGCGCCAUAUAAAAAGCAAAGGCCACCAAGAUAAGCAACGAGCUCUCCUGUCCACAGCCACAAUAUCCCAAUAUGCAAUGGCCGUUCCAUCUGUUGGGGGUAUGUCUGCACAAGAGGUUAAGACAAGAAGGGCUGAGGUCAAAAUGACAGCUGGGUUGGUAGUUCACAACGUCCCCCUAGCCUUUGCGGACCACCUGGGGCCUCUCCUAAAAGAAUGUUUCGGAGAUUCGAAGACAGCGCAGGAGUACAGGUGUGCCAGGACUAGGUCAUCCUGCAUUACCAAUGAAGCACUCGCACCAUAUUUCACACAGGAGCUUGUGAAGGAGAUGAAAAAAGCCCCGUAUACCCUUGUUACGGAUGGGUCGAAUGACACUGGAGUGGAAAAGAUGAACCCGCUUACUGUCCGGGUCUUCAUGGGCAGCAAAGUU
Coregonus clupeaformis (lake whitefish) is the source of this 503-nucleotide long non-coding RNA. RefSeq lists it as uncharacterized. Lineage: Eukaryota; Metazoa; Chordata; Actinopteri; Salmoniformes; Salmonidae. The transcript has 3 exons. The record is from RefSeq and is a predicted model, not a curated record.